RNAcentral lists this ribosomal RNA (1014 nucleotides) under Staphylococcus kloosii. RNAcentral describes it as "bacterial SSU rRNA". It matches the Rfam family "Bacterial small subunit ribosomal RNA", at positions 70 to 1066 of the family's 1533-position model. Lineage: Bacteria; Bacillati; Bacillota; Bacilli; Caryophanales; Staphylococcaceae. The record is from RNAcentral.
GAUAAGGAGCUUGCUCCUUUGACGUUAGCGGCGGACGGGUGAGUAACACGUGGGUAACCUACCUAUAAGACUGGAAUAACUUCGGGAAACCGAAGCUAAUGCCGGAUAACAUGUAGAACCGCAUGGUUCUACAGUGAAAGAUGGCCUUGCUAUCACUUAUAGAUGGACCCGCGCCGUAUUAGCUAGUUGGUAAGGUAACGGCUUACCAAGGCAACGAUACGUAGCCGACCUGAGAGGGUGAUCGGCCACACUGGAACUGAGACACGGUCCAGACUCCUACGGGAGGCAGCAGUAGGGAAUCUUCCGCAAUGGGCGAAAGCCUGACGGAGCAACGCCGCGUGAGUGAUGAAGGUCUUCGGAUCGUAAAGCUCUGUUAUUAGGGAAGAACAAGUGCGUAAGUAACUGUGCGCACCUUGACGGUACCUAAUCAGAAAGCCACGGCUAACUACGUGCCAGCAGCCGCGGUAAUACGUAGGUGGCAAGCGUUAUCCGGAAUUAUUGGGCGUAAAGCGCGCGUAGGCGGUUUCUUAAGUCUGAUGUGAAAGCCCACGGCUCAACCGUGGAGGGUCAUUGGAAACUGGGAGACUUGAGUGCAGAAGAGGAAAGUGGAAUUCCAUGUGUAGCGGUGAAAUGCGCAGAGAUAUGGAGGAACACCAGUGGCGAAGGCGACUUUCUGGUCUGUAACUGACGCUGAUGUGCGAAAGCGUGGGGAUCAAACAGGAUUAGAUACCCUGGUAGUCCACGCCGUAAACGAUGAGUGCUAAGUGUUAGGGGGUUUCCGCCCCUUAGUGCUGCAGCUAACGCAUUAAGCACUCCGCCUGGGGAGUACGACCGCAAGGUUGAAACUCAAAGGAAUUGACGGGGACCCGCACAAGCGGUGGAGCAUGUGGUUUAAUUCGAAGCAACGCGAAGAACCUUACCAAAUCUUGACAUCCUUUGACCACUCUGGAGACAGAGUUUUCCCCUUCGGGGGACAAAGUGACAGGUGGUGCAUGGUUGUCGUCAGCUCGUGUC